CAUAAAUCACGCUCCAGGGCUCAAUAUUCCCUUGCGAAACAUGAAGGUGCUCCUAACAACGGGUUAUCUUAUCCACAUUUAAGAAGUGGAGUAUCAACAUCAGGGGCAACAGAGGACGUGACACAUGAAUUGGAGGGCAGGCUAAAACUUAUUUUAUGUAUUUUACUGUGUUUGGAAGAGGCUUUGUUUGGUUGUAUAAUUUCAAGAUUUGGAGCUUAGGGCACCAGAUGGGUUGAG
This is a non-coding RNA of Pelobates cultripes (western spadefoot toad), 237 nucleotides long. NCBI's taxonomy places the organism in Eukaryota, Metazoa, Chordata, Amphibia, Anura, Pelobatidae. The record is from the annotation of a GenBank genome assembly.